Molecule: transfer RNA, 115 nt
Filed under: Tilletia horrida
Lineage: Eukaryota; Fungi; Basidiomycota; Exobasidiomycetes; Tilletiales; Tilletiaceae
Description: tRNA-Ile
Rfam family: tRNA
About the family: Transfer RNA (tRNA) molecules are approximately 80 nucleotides in length. Their secondary structure includes four short double-helical elements and three loops (D, anti-codon, and T loops).
Source: RNAcentral
GGACCCGUGGCAGCAGUGGUAGCUCAUUGUGCUUAUAAUUCGACAUCUCACCAAUUUUGGUGGGAGUCCCUAUACGGAGACGCAACGGUCGCGAGUUCGAUCCUCGCCGGGUCCA